AUUGUACGCUGGCGGCAGGCUUAACACAUGCAAGUCGAGCGGGGGAAGGUAGCUUGCUACCGGACCUAGCGGCGGACGGGUGAGUAAUGCUUAGGAAUCUGCCUAUUAGUGGGGGACAACAUCUCGAAAGGGAUGCUAAUACCGCAUACGUCCUACGGGAGAAAGCAGGGGAUCUUCGGACCUUGCGCUAAUAGAUGAGCCUAAGUCGGAUUAGCUAGGUGGUGGGGUAAAGGCCUACCAAGGCGACGAUCUGUAGCGGGUCUGAGAGGAUGAUCCGCCACACUGGGACUGAGACACGGCCCAGACUCCUACGGGAGGCAGCAGUGGGGAAUAUUGGACAAUGGGGGGAACCCUGAUCCAGCCAUGCCGCGUGUGUGAAGAAGGCCUUAUGGUUGUAAAGCACUUUAAGCGAGGAGGAGGCUACUUUAGUUAAUACCUGGAGAUAGUGGACGUUACUCGCAGAAUAAGCACCGGCUAACCCUGUGCCAGCAGCCGCAGUAA
This 501-nucleotide ribosomal RNA is filed under the name uncultured bacterium. RNAcentral's name for it is "partial 16S ribosomal RNA". It matches the Rfam family "Bacterial small subunit ribosomal RNA", at positions 30 to 523 of the family's 1533-position model. The record is from RNAcentral.